UUUCUCCUGGUCCAAUUAGAGGAAGUAAAAGUCGUAACAAGGUUUCGGUCGUAGGUGACCUGCGGAGGACAUUAACGAGUUUUGAAAUGGGUUGUAGCUGGCCUUCCGAGGCAUGUGCACACCCUGCUCAUCCACUUUACACCUGUGCACUUACUGUAGGUUGGCGUGGGCUUCGGACCUCCGGGUUCGAGGCAUUCUGCCGGCCUAUGUACAAUACAAACUCCGAAGUAACAGAAUGUAAACGCGUCUAACGCAUCUUAAUACAACUUUCAGCAACGGAUCUCUUGGCUCUCGCAUCGAUGAAGAACGCAGCGAAAUGCGAUAAGUAAUGUGAAUUGCAGAAUUCAGUGAAUCAUCGAAUCUUUGAACGCACCUUGCGCUCCUUGGUAUUCCGAGGAGCAUGCCUGUUUGAGUGUCAUGGAAUUCUCAACCCAUAGAUCCUUGUGGUCUACGGGCUUGGAUUUGGAGGCUUGCCGGCCCUUACACGGGGUCGGCUCCUCUUGAAUGCAUUAGCUUGAUUCCGUGCGAAUCGGCUCUCAGUGUGAUAAUUGUCUACGCUGUGGCCGUGAAGCGUUUGGCGAGCUUCUAACCGUCCGUUAGGACAACUUCUUGACAUCUGACCUCAAAUCAGGUAGGACUACCCGCUGAACUUAAGCAUAUAUAAAACGGGGGAGAGAAAAA
This 681-nucleotide ribosomal RNA is filed under the name Coriolopsis sp. arf5. RNAcentral describes it as "eukaryotic LSU rRNA". The stretch from base 265 to 418 matches the Rfam family "5.8S ribosomal RNA". The record is from RNAcentral. Lineage: Eukaryota; Fungi; Basidiomycota; Agaricomycetes; Polyporales; Polyporaceae.